GGGAGAGUUGUUGGUGAGGCUAAUGCCACUGCUGUUGCUAAUCCGGUUUGAGGCUGUUGCUACUGCUGCGAGUUAGAACGAAGUUGGAGUCACGCCUAACUUUGUGGGUUUCGACUAACUAAGUGACAGGUUCGGAGACUCAGUUUGAAGCCGCGGGCGAUUAGGAGUUUUAUUUAAGUUUAUGUGUUGAGUUGCUUUUAUAGAAUUCCCUCGCCCUUGUUUUUAUUUUAU
Non-coding RNA from Arachis ipaensis, 231 nucleotides. NCBI's taxonomy places the organism in Eukaryota, Viridiplantae, Streptophyta, Magnoliopsida, Fabales, Fabaceae. The record is from RefSeq and is a predicted model, not a curated record.